CGAGCUUCCUGGCUGCUUUGUUUACCUACUCAAGCCUCAGCAAUGGAGGGUGCUCCUCCCUCAGCCUCUCUUCUACCCUGCAGUUCGAUCUCAGACCUCAUUGCUGUGCUAGCAAUGAGGGAGGUUCCGUGGGCAUGGGACCCUCUGAGCCAGGCUCCCCUAUCUUCCUGGUACAAUGCCCUCAGUGGUGUCAUGCAAGGAGGAGAGCUUUUGCUGUGGGCACAGCCCUCAGAGAAACUACAUCAAGCUUGCCUAACCCGUGGCCCAGGACAGCUUUGGAUGCGACCCAACACAAAUUCAUGGGACCAUCUGGUUGCACGAAAACAAGCUCAGGGGUCCUACUGAUUCUACAUUAUGGU
This 359-nucleotide long non-coding RNA is filed under the name Homo sapiens (human). RNAcentral describes it as "HSALNT0190438". Lineage: Eukaryota; Metazoa; Chordata; Mammalia; Primates; Hominidae. The record is from RNAcentral.